UAGGCACGUAGCUCAGUGGUAGAGCACCACCUUGACAUGGUGGUGGUCGGUGGUUCGAUCCCACUCGUGCCUACCAA
RNAcentral lists this transfer RNA (77 nucleotides) under Rickettsiella grylli. RNAcentral describes it as "tRNA-Val". It matches the Rfam family "tRNA". From Rfam's summary of the family: Transfer RNA (tRNA) molecules are approximately 80 nucleotides in length. Their secondary structure includes four short double-helical elements and three loops (D, anti-codon, and T loops). Lineage: Bacteria; Pseudomonadati; Pseudomonadota; Gammaproteobacteria; Legionellales; Coxiellaceae. The record is from RNAcentral.